Papaver somniferum (opium poppy) is the source of this 673-nucleotide long non-coding RNA. RefSeq lists it as uncharacterized. The record is from RefSeq and is a predicted model, not a curated record. NCBI's taxonomy places the organism in Eukaryota, Viridiplantae, Streptophyta, Magnoliopsida, Ranunculales, Papaveraceae. The transcript has 3 exons.
GGUUAAUAACUAACAAAUAAACCUCUGUAAUUUUUCAUCUGAUGCAAUCAAGAGAACGUAUUAAAGGUACACAAACAAAUUGAAUUGCUGCUUGCACAUGUGGAUGGGGAUAAAAAUGAAAGCGUAUCUGAAAAAGCUUCGCCCCCUUGUGAAAAGAUCCUGGCUCCGUCUCUGCUGCAUCAGAACAAGUCAUAGUGAUUCUUGUCCCUUACAAGACACCGGCAUUGAUGCUUGUUCUGAAACUGCAGAGGAGUAGUAUGUACAAGAAACUGAAUUCUACAGUUCAUCAACUAAUUCUGCCCUGUAUUAGACACCUUACUAUCAACAACAGGGAUAGUAAUGGUGAAUUGCUUUCUCAUCUAAGCAGCUAUGCAGUUGUGUAUAUGCGGUCUUAAGUUUCUCCUCAAAGUUCACUGGAACCAGUCGACAACAGUAACUGCAGCAAUAAUAUUGAUUGUAUGCUAUUGUUGUAUCAUCAAUGCAAGGAUUGCAUUAUACAAGCAACAACAUGGAUAGUGAUUAUAGAAGCAAAGAUUUUCAUUGCACUGAGAUAGCUGCUCUCCAUCACCGUUUUCAAUCCGAGUAUUCUCAUUCUGUCCAUUACUCGUUUAGGAGCAAACCUGUACAAAAAUAUGACUAGGAAGAUGCCUUGCAUUAUUUCCUCAUAUUUUGG